UGAUUUAAGAGAUGCACACGGUAGUCUAAGUUUUAUGUAUUAUUAAUUUCCUUAACUGUCUUAAUUACAAUAAUUAAUAUUUUAAUUUAAUAAUCACAGUUAUGAUGCUAGUGAUUCUGGUGGUGAGUAUGAUGGUUAUAUGAUGAUGACGAUGGUGAUGAUGAUGGUGGUAAUGGUAAUGAUGGUAAUGAUGGUGAUGGUGGUGGUAUGGUGAUGGUAAUGAUGGUGAUGGUGGUGGUAUGGUGAUGGUAAUGAUGAUGAUGGUGGUGGUAUGGUGAUGGUAAUGAUGGUGAUGGUGGUGGUAUGGUGAUGGUAAUGAUGGUGAUGGUGAUGGUGGAAGUAAUGAUGGUGAUGGUAAUGAUGGUGAUGGUAAUGAUGGUGAUGGUGGUGGUAUGGUGAUGGUAAUGAUGGUGGUGGUGAUGGUGGAAGUAAUGAUGGUGAUGGUAAUGAUGGUGAUGGUAAUGAUGGUGAUUGUAAUGAUGGUGAUGGUGGUGGUAAUGAUGGUGGUGGUGAUGGUAAUGAUGGUGAUGGUAAUGACGGUGAUG
Paramuricea clavata is the source of this 545-nucleotide non-coding RNA. The record is from the annotation of a GenBank genome assembly. NCBI's taxonomy places the organism in Eukaryota, Metazoa, Cnidaria, Anthozoa, Malacalcyonacea, Plexauridae.